This 479-nucleotide ribosomal RNA is filed under the name uncultured bacterium. Its description in RNAcentral is "partial 16S ribosomal RNA". It matches the Rfam family "Bacterial small subunit ribosomal RNA", at positions 28 to 523 of the family's 1533-position model. The record is from RNAcentral.
GACGAACGCUGGCGGCGUGCUUAACACAUGCAAGUCGAGCGAUGAAGCACCUUCGGGUGUGAAUUAGCGGCGAACGGGUGAGGAACACGUGAGAAAUCUGCCUUCAACUCUGGGAUAACUCCGUGAAAACGGGGCUAAUACCGGAUAUGAAACCUGCGGGCAUCCGCGGGUUUGGAAAGUUUUUCGGUUGAAGAUGAUCUCGCGGCCUAUCAGCUUGUUGGUGAGGUAAUGGCUCACCAAGGCGACGACGGGUAGCCGGCCUGAGAGGGCGACCGGCCACACUGGGACUGAGACACGGCCCAGACUCCUACGGGAGGCAGCAGUGGGGGAUAUUGGGCAAUGGAGGAAACCCUGACCCAGCGACGCCGCGUGCGGGAUGAAGGCCUUCGGGUUGUAAACCACUUUCAGCAGGGAAGAAGCGAAAGUGACGGUACCUGCAGAAGAAGCACCGGCUAACUAUGUGCCAGCAGCCGCCGUAA